Molecule: ribosomal RNA, 292 nt
Filed under: uncultured bacterium
Lineage: Bacteria
Description: partial 16S ribosomal RNA
Rfam family: Bacterial small subunit ribosomal RNA
Source: RNAcentral
GUGCCAGCAGCCGCGGUAAAACGUAGGAGGCGAGCGUUAUCCGGAUUUACUGGGUGUAAAGCGCGUGCAGGCGGUUCAGCAAGUCACGUGUGAAAGCGCCCGGCUCAACCGGGCGAGGACGGGUGAAACUGCUGAACUGGAGGCCGGUAGAGGCGUGUGGAAUUCCGGGUGUAGUGGUGAAAUGCGUAGAGAUCCGGAGGAACACCAGUGGCGAAGGCGACACGCUGGACCGAGCCUGACGCUCAGACGCGACAGCAUGGGGAGCGAACGGGAUUAGAUACCCCCGUAGUCC